GACGAACGCUGGUGGCGUGCUUAACACAUGCAAGUCGAACGGAAAGGCCUGCUUUCCCUUGUGGAUUGCGGGUACUCGAGUGGCGAACGGGUGAGUAACACGUGAGUGAUCUGCCCCCAACUUGGGUAUAAGCCUGGGAAACUGGGUCUAAUUCCCGAUAGGACUGCAGGGUGGUGCCUGUGGUGGAAAACGAUUUUCUAGUGGUUGGGGAUGAGCUCGCGGCCUAUCAGCUUGUUGGUGGGGUAAUGGCCUACCAAGGCGGCGACGGGUAGCCGGCCUGAGAGGGUGGACGGCCACAUUGGGACUGAGAUACGGCCCAGACUCCUACGGGAGGCAGCAGUGGGGAAUAUUGCACAAUGGGCGGAAGCCUGAUGCAGCGACGCCGCGUGGGGGAUGACGGCCUUCGGGUUGUAAACUCCUUUCGACCGCGAGGAAGCCACCUGGUUGGAAGGGUGGUGACGGUAGUGGUAGAAGAAGCACCGGCUAACUACGUG
Molecule: ribosomal RNA, 494 nt
Filed under: uncultured bacterium
Lineage: Bacteria
Description: partial 16S ribosomal RNA
Rfam family: Bacterial small subunit ribosomal RNA
Source: RNAcentral